UGGCGUACGGGUGAGUAACGCGUAGGUAAUCUACCCCAGAAUCCGGAAUAACCGGCCGAAAGGCUGGCUAAUACCAGAUAGAGCGACGAAAUCCGUAAUUGGGUUUUUCGGGAAAGGGGGGCCGUAAGGUCUCUCGUUUUGGGAUGAGCCUGCGUCUCAUUAGCUAGUUGGUAAGGUAAUGGCUUACCAAGGCAUUGAUGGGUAGCUGGUCUGAGAGGAUGAUCAGCCACACUGGAACUGAAACACGGUCCAGACUCCUACGGGAGGCAGCAGUGGGGAAUCUUGCGCAAUGGACGAAAGUCUGACGCAGCCACGCCGCGUGAGUGAAGAAGGCCUUCGGGUUGUAAAGCUCUGUCGAGCGGGACGAAAAGCACUUAGGCUCAUACCCUAGGUGUCUGACGGUACCGCUAAAGGAAGCACCGGCUAACUUCGUGCCAGCAGCCGCGGUAAUACGAGGGGUGCAAGCGUUGCUCGGAAUUAUUGGGCGUAAAGGGUAGGUAGGUGGUCUCAUUUGUCUGGGGUGAAAGCCUUGAGCUUAACUCGAGAAG
This 548-nucleotide ribosomal RNA is filed under the name uncultured delta proteobacterium. RNAcentral's name for it is "bacterial SSU rRNA". It matches the Rfam family "Bacterial small subunit ribosomal RNA", at positions 96 to 621 of the family's 1533-position model. The record is from RNAcentral. Lineage: Bacteria; Deltaproteobacteria.